Long non-coding RNA from Dromiciops gliroides (monito del monte), 440 nucleotides. RefSeq lists it as uncharacterized. The record is from RefSeq and is a predicted model, not a curated record. NCBI's taxonomy places the organism in Eukaryota, Metazoa, Chordata, Mammalia, Microbiotheria, Microbiotheriidae. The transcript has 3 exons.
GUCAUCUCUUCCCAUAAGAACUACCACAUCACCCUACACCAUCCUCUGGUUGAUAUAAUGCCUGGUCCCAGAGUGAACAAGGCUAUGGUUUGUAGCACGAGUAAUAAAGGAGGGGAGGAAUAACCUGCCCAGCCACAAAACAGGACAAUGCCCAGGAGCCUGGAGGGGUGACAAGGACACUGAAUAGACACCCUGCAUUUGAGACUCACCUCUAAUCUUUCAUCCGCUGAGUGGGCAACCUUGGAUAACGGAGCAGCUUCUCCACAGGAGGAUAGCGGCUCAGGGACGGCACGCAACCCAGCAACACCAGCUUGUGUUUGGCUCUUGUGAUGGCAACAUUAAGGCGCCUCCAAUCCUUCAAAAGCUCGCCGAGCUGUAACAACAAAGACAAUCGCAUAGUCAAUCUUAGCUUUUCAGAAUUCGGUGAAAUGUAGAGUUUG